UAUAUAUAUAUAUAUAUAUAGAUAGAGUGAGGCUACUAUACUAUCGGAAGCACAGAGCCUUCCGUGCUUCUAGCUCGUUUUCGAUGUUGCGACUUUCGAAUCGUCGAUCGGCUCCGUUAAACUUGAUCUAGAGUAUUUGAAGUACCUAGAAAAUAAAUUUUAUGAUUUUACGAUAUCAUUUGCCUAGUGAACAAAGGGGCUCAAAAUCAACGGCUGAAAAUAAAAAUCUUACAAAAUGUAAUAAUAUGACAUUAAAAUUUUAAAUCAAAGAUAUUGAUCUUGUUUUAUAUAGUAUAAAGAAUUUUCUAUCAAAAUUUCACGUGAUUUGAAUAUUUCUACACCGUUAAACUUGCAAACGGCUCACUACGGCCAUUGAAAUUUGUUGAUUUUGAGCGAUCGUAGGCAAAUGAUAUUCGAAAAAUAAUAAAAUCUUAUUUCUAAUGGUACCGCAAUAAUCUAUUGAUCAUAUUAAUCGAGCCGAUCGCAAUUCCGCAGAAGUCACAACAUGAAGAAGAGCUGAAGACAGAAGGCUCCGUGCUUCAUAGCAUAGUAGCCUCACUCUAUAUAUAUAUAUAUAUAUAUAUAUAUAUAUAUAUAUAUAUCAUACAACAGAAUUAGGUUAUAGGGACACAUAUUUGGGACACUUUUAAGUAAGUGUCCCAUUUAUACUAAAACUUAAAAACACGUCUACUAAUGCCUAAAUAUAAAGCCCAAUCCAACCAAAAAUAAAAAAUUACUCUACUCAACCCACCACAUCCAGUCCAUUUGGUCCGAUUACAAACAGAAAAGAAAAAAAAGAAAAAUCAAUUACCAUCUUUUCUUCUCUCUUCACUCAAUCCACUGAAAUUCUAGACGAAUAGUCUUUACUGUCGUCCUCCUCCGCCACCGCAGCCAACGAGAUAGAGUUUCGACUGUUGCUAAAUGCUUAAAUAAGUAUUGGUAAAUUAGCAUGAUUCUUUUAGGUUAUAGCGACACUUUUUAACUGUCACUAUAUACCUAGCGACCCCACAUAUAGAAAUACUUUUUAAAAGUGUCGAUAAUUUUAGCUAGCAGCACUUUUUUGAUAUGUACCUACAGUUAAAAGUGUCGCUAUAGACCAUUUUUGUUGUAUAUAUAUAUAUAUAUAUAUAUAUAUAUAAAGAGAGAGAGAGUNNNNNNNNNNNAUGUUUAAAAUAAUAUUCUUGAAAAUAAAUCCUACAAACUUUCUUUGCAAAGGUUUGAAAGAGUACUAUAUCGUUUACGACUGUGAACUUUUUUCAUGGCGGAUACUUGCAAUUCUAAAAAUUAAAAGACUUCGAAAUUAUAUAGUCCGAUAUAGAGUAACUGUGCACUAUAUAUAUAUAUAUUAUAUAUAUAUAUAUAUAUAUAUAUAUAUAUGCCUUUCGUGAAUUGCAGCAACUAGACAAUUUCAAAGUUGCAUCUUAGCUUAUUAGAAAAAAAAAAAAAAAUUGUAAAUUUCACGAACAAGAAUAUGCUACAACAUCACACAUAUACAUAUUUCUUAAAAGUAAUAAAUUAAUUAAUUGUAUACGUGCCUUUAAUUUCGAAAUAAUUGCUACUUUUUAUCAGAUGAUCAUGAAGCUCAAAAAUCCUGGCUCCAUGAAGCUCUUCUAACGGUCAAAAAGGUCAAACUCAACACUAAGCUCUAUGAGCCACGUGACAAUGCGACUGCCAAUGAAUUAAUGACACGUGGCACCUAGCUGGUUGACUUGGUCAAGGUACAAUCCGAGGUCAUGGCAUUCCACCAGGUUGGCCGACCCCCGGCCGCCGCCGCCGCCUCCUCGCAGCCGCAGCUCCCGUCCGACGUCGGCGUACGCCCACCCCAGUGCCGUCGUCGCCCUCCGCCACCACCUGCCGCCGCCGUCGUCCUCCGAUUCCACCACGAAGCCCGGCACUUUGGUCACGACAUCGCCGGCGUUCACUAUCCGCAGCACCUUGCACCCACUCCCCUCCACCCUCCGCCGGAACCCCUCGUUCCCGAUCCGCGGUCCGCCGAACGAUAUCGCCGUCACCAUCGCCUUGCGGUCACUGCUGCCCCGGCAAAAAGUGUCGGCAAUGUCGUGCGCAGCGAGCACCGCGAGUGCGGCGCCGAGGCUGUGCCCGGUCACCGUGAAGCUCAACGGGUACGCAUCCGCUGUCGCAGUCGCCGCCGCCGCGUCGACGAUCCGUCCCACCUCCUCGCGCACCUGCGCCCGCAGGCUGCCAUGCGGAGCGACUGCGGUCGUGAAGAGGUUCCAGAAACCGCGCUCCACCAUCGGCUCCGACACAUUGUCGGAAGUGCAGCCAUCCAAGCCAGUGAGAGAAGUUUGGGAGUUCUCGAUCCACUCAAGGAAGGUGGCGGUGCCGCGGAGCGCGAUAACGACGUCGCGGCGGCCGAGCCGGGCGAUUUCGGCCUCGUCCCUGCAGGCCGCGAUGUACCCGAUCCAGCUCGACCGCCGCGAGAGCGCCGAGGGGGCUCCGGCAUCGGCUAUCCAUCGAGGAACUGCUGCGGCAGUCGUGGCGUGGAGGUGGCGCGUGACGCGGUAGCCGGUGCGGGACAGGCCUGCGCGGCGGAGGAGGGAGUGCUUGGGGAAGCGGCAGGCGGCGUAGGACGGGGAGCAGGGGUCGGUGUCGAAGGCGGAGUAGGCGGCACGGACAAAUUCGCCGUAGCGGAGGAUCUCACGGCGGAGGGUGUCGUCGAGCGGGUCGAGGAGGCGGGCCCAGUCGUCGGCGCCUUGGUACUCCGCCCACCGCCUCCCGAUCCUCGCGGUGGAGCGGCCGCGGAGUGUCGACGGACCCGAAGGGGAGGAGGAACACUUGAUCAGUGGAGAUGAGCAAUGGUGAGAUGAUAGAGAAGUUGGUGAGGACCAACCUCUCCAUACACAAAGCUUCAUCUUUUAUUCUACUUAAUUAGAUUCUAUUUUGUACUUGAAACAAUAUGUUGUACACUUUGUAGAAGAUGAUGUGUGUGUAUAGAUAUAUAUAGCUUGUGCAUGUGCAUGUGCAUGAUACGUGGGGGGGCAAAAAUAUGGGUGCAUGGGGAGGGUUCGACGCGCCGAAAAGGUAAAAAAAGAGUGGCUUAGAGGAUCCAAUUGAUGCGAUGCAAUAACAAAAUAACUUUUUGGGAGGGACCCUCUUUAAUUUCCAACAUUUUUGUGCCCAAGAAGUAUGAUUAGAAGAAUAAUAGAGUUGAGCACAUGUGCUUUUAAAAACAUAGUAAGUAGUAUUUGCGCUUAUGAUUUUUUAAUUAGCUGUUUGAUCACUUCAAGAUCCGUAUAAAAAUAUUAAUGAUAUGUCAUUUUAUUAGGAUUAUAUAGACUUAAGGUGAUAAUUGGUGGUUAAAAAACUAUAAACACGUUGAGCUCUCCUGCUUUUAAAAACAAAGGAGCUUAACUCUAGAAGGAUAUACAUUUUUUGUUACUAAUAAACAGCAAAAAUAAUAAAUAAAAGUUUAUUGCAAGGAGCUGCACCUAAUAAAUACCCUUUCUAAAAGGAGGAAUGUUACAUAUAUAUUAAAAAAAUGAGUAUAAAUUUUAUAUUUCACCUAUUAGGAGAUUUAGAUAUCUCUUCUAAAUUUAUAAUAUUAAAGAAAGAGAUUAAUAAUAUUAGCGUGAAUAAAGUAAUCCUUCGAUAGGAGGAUAGGCUUUUAAUAUUAAAAAAUUGAUAAGAUCAGUGUGAAUAAAGUGAUUCUUAAAUAAGAGGUGUAAAAUUUACGCUCAAAUUUUGCUUGCAACAGUUAUGUCGUGAUAACAAUAUCCCAUUGAAGAGUUUUAUGUUGCGCAAAAUGCAAAAUCAAAAUUAUUUUAAAUAUUAUUUUAAUGUGAAAUUAUAAUAUUGUCUUAUUAUUAGGCCUUUCACUAUCUCCUAUAGUACAAUAGGAUUGAUUUAAUAUAUACCUUACAUAGUAUAAUUGUUAUAAAGAAUGUUUUUUCCUCUGUAUUAUGCACUUCAUAUUCAAUAGCAAUUAUGAUAAAUAUUUAUUCAAAUAAUGGUGAAGAAAAAACUUGUUCUUGUUGAGAGUUCACAUAUGAAUUACUCCAUGUCGGAUAAUUAUAAGAGAGUAAAAGAGCUAAUACAUGCUAGUAUGCUCAGCUUAAGAGGCUUAGGUUUUCAGAUUGAAUGUGUUUCAUUAGAUAUAUCACGUUCUUUGACUCGUGUGGGGAUGAGCUUGGCCUAGAACUUCCUAACAAUUCUGGUACGUUUUACGUUAGAUAAUAAGAAAAAAAAAUUGCAUCUAAGAUAAUACUUUAUUUUCAAAGUUUUUCAAAAGAUAAUUUUACUUUUUAAGAGUUUGUUUCAGAUAAAAGAGUGCACUGAAAAGCUAUUCCCUAAACUUUCUAUCAUGACCGUACGUAUAUCUUACUUUUCUGAUGAUUCUAUUAUAUCCAGAUAAAUAAUCUAAAAAUAAUGAUCUAAGAAGUUAGAAAUUCAAUUUAAAGUGAAACUCAAGGUCAGGAUAGACCUCAAUUUAAAUUCAAAUAAAUAUUUUGCAUAACUAUUGUGAAAAGAAGCACCCACGGAGCUACGAUUUGUGACAUUCCGAGGCUUGAGAUAGACCCACAUUGGAUAGCUAUGGCUAGGUGUGAAGUAUAUAAACUUGAAUGAGCUAAACACAAUAACUGAGCUAAAGUAUUUUGGGCUGGUGGUUUGGACCUGAGUUAUUAUUGCUAGUAGACAGAAUCAUUAUAUUUUGUGUCAAAACUGAAUAUUAGAUGAAGGUCGAGUCGUUGCAUGAUCAUCCAACACACUUCAGUUUCUAUAACCUAAAUUGGAAAAAAGGAAAAAAAAAAAAAAAAAAAAAAAAAAAACAUGAUUGAAAAUAUCUAAGAUAGAUAAAAAUAGAGUUGAUGUUUUGAGGAGAAAGAAAAUGAGGACACUUUACCUCACAAUCAAUUAAUUAUGGAAUGACACCAAAGAGUGUGGCUACAUCUGCAUCUGACCAUGGAUAGUGGGUGCAUAAAAGAGUGUUGGUUUAUAGCUUUAUUGAAGUAGAAAUUAUUCAAUAUAUAAUUAAGCCUUUUAAAGUGUGGUAAUGCAUAUUUGAAAUUACUAAAUUUAGAUUUAAACUUAGGGUUUUAUGAUGUCUAUUUUUGAGUUUUGUAGACCAUAGGUAUUACAAAUAUAAACCCAUUUGAUAUGACUAUCUAAUCUUUAAAAGUUUUAAUUUUAUUGUGUAAAUAUUUUUAUUUAUUUGAUUUAAGUCAUUUUAUGAUUGUUUUUUCACGUUAUAAUUUGACUGUGUUGUAGAGUAUGUCAUACGGUUCAGAUGACUACUUUUCAAUUAAAACAUACAAUGCAUGCAAAUAUCUACCUAAAAUAUCACCAAAUGGUUCAAAUCAAAAUAAUUGAAAGCUUUAUAAAAUUGAAUAGCUUAAAGUUUAGGUGGUCAUUGUCAGAAUAGUACAUAAGUUAAGUAAGUUUUAUGUAGGGCUAUUAACGAGCUGAACACGAGCUGACUCGUUUAAAAAAUCAAGCUGAAAAAUUCAGCUCACGUUCGGCUUGUUUAGUAAUGGCUUGUUUAUUAAGCGAACAGUAAGUUAAAUUGUCAACUCUAUUACUUGAUAAAAUAUUGAAAAAAAAAAAAUUAGAAUUAAUCUUAAUCUAAUAAUUAAAAUUCACAAAAUAUAAAGCCUUUUAUGAUCUAAAUAGUAAAACGGUAUUGAUGUAAAGGCUAGUAGCAAUUAAAAGGAUUGAUUUGAAUACGAAAAAGUUAGAGGUAACAAUGGAUUAAUACUUCUAGAAGUAUUCUACCUCACCCCUAUAUAUAUAUAUAUAAAAUUAGGCUGGAAUACUAUUAAUAGUAAAACACUAUUUUUGCUAUCAAGUUUUUAAUCCUUGAAUGAAAAAUUAUAGGGUCGGGAUGAUAUUAGUCGGUUAGAGUUGAGUGGUCCCCCUAGGGUUGCGUGGUCCCCACUGGGUUAUAGUAUUUAAUCCAAUGGUUAGAAAUAAUAAAAAGAGUUGAUCCAAAGGCUAAAAAACUGGUAGCAACAAUGGAAUUUUGCUACUAAUAGUAGUCCAAUCCAACUCUCUCUCUCUCUCUCUCUCUCUCUCUCUCUCUCUCUCUCUCUCUCUCUCUCUCUCUCUCUCUCUCUCUCUAUAUAUAUAUAUAUAUAUAUAUUCGAGCAAUAUUGAACCGAACACGAAUGAGCUGGCUGCAGCUCGUAUUCGGCUUGUUUAUUAAACAAAUGAUCAUUCUCGAGCUCAUUUAAAGUUGAACACGAGCUGACUCGCGAACAACGAACUGGAUUGUCAAACUUUAGGAAUGGGUGCCCUCCGGGCAGGCAUCUUUAGAGGGAAAAAAGCAAUAUCGAGCCGAACACGAACAAGUGAGCUGACUCCAGUUCGUGUUCGGCGCUUUGUUAUUAAACAAACGAUUAAUCAUAAGCUUGUUUCAAGUCGAAUACGAGCUGACUCGCGAACAGUGAGCUGGAUUGUCGAACUCUAGGAAUGGGUGCCCUACAGGCAGGCAACUUUAGAAGGAAAAAAAAAAAAAAAAAAACGCAUGAUUUUGACACAAGGUACCAGGUGCCUGCUCGUGCUAAAUGGACCCUUGUACACUUGCGGCAGGAGCUUUUGGGCGAAGCAGUUUUGGGGAUGACAAAUUUGGAAUUGGGCCACAUUUAACAUCAACUGUUCUCGCAAAUCACACGUGUCCCAAAUGGAACAAGUUUGGUGAGUUUCACGUGUGAAAAUCCUUUUACUUCGCACAGCUAAAGCUAGUAGGAAAGGGUCCUACUUAUUCUUAACUCCAUGUUUACUUGUUUGGUUAUAUUGUAGUUAUUAUAAUUAUAUCUGCAUACAAAUUUAAUUCUGAUGUUUAGUUUAUGCAUUUAAAUUUAGUUGGAAUUGCGUGAGAAGGCCCAACUGCAGAUCUUAGAAUUAUGUCCAAAUUUGUCGCAUUUUCAACUACAACCACUUGGAAUGAGUAAUCAUAAACAAAAAAACAAACGUAUCUUCUAAAUCUUCAUAUAUACAUAUAUAUAUAUAUAUAUAUAUAUAUAUAUAUAAAAUAAUAAAAUUUUAAAAAUAUACUUUUUCAUUGCAUGAAAUCAAAGAAAUUAUUUAUAAUUGCACUGUUUUCUACUACAUUAACCAAAUUUAGAUAUAUGUAAUUAUAUCUACUACAUUUUUAACUACAGUUCUAAUUAUAUCGGGCCAAAUGGGCCCCAAUAUAUUGUGAGAAAGUGUGAUGAAUUGUUUUUAUAAAUAACAACAUGUCAUGUCGAUCGUAACGAUUUGAUUAGAAUACAAUUAAUAUUUGCAGUUUCAUCGAAAAAUGAAAAAACAUCUCGAUCUUUAUAUAAUUUCACUGUACUUUAUUGAUGCCAAUAGCUUUAGCUAAUCGGCUUUCAAUAUUAUACAGACCUUUGAUAAAGUUUAGCUUUUCAGAAGCUCUCCGAUGAUAGUGAAAAUUUGCGUCAAAAAUUUUGAAGAUUCCUACCACCAUUUUAUAGCAAUUGAAUUGAUUUCUAAAGCGCUCAACUAUUUUUCUUGGUAAAAAUAUGCUAAACUAAUAUCAACUUUUGGGCUAAUAUAAAAUUGACUAUUCACGAUCUUGUUUGGCUUUGCUGUUAUUUUUUAAUUUUUUUUAACAUAAUUAUAUGUAGCUAGCUAGAUAUGCCAGCAAACAGGACUCCUACAUAUUUUCUCCCAACACUUCCACAUAGAAUUCCUGCUUGAAAAAAAAUUGAAGAGAUAACAACAAUAUGGAACAAAUUAAGACUAGUAUUUGCAAAUUUUGAAUUCACUAUCUUACCUUUCAAUUCUUCUAAUUUGAGUUUUUUUUAUGGCUCUAAAAUAUUUUGCAUAUACCUCACCCAUUAGUCCAUCCACGCACUCUAUAUUUAUUUGUCAUUCCUCAUAUUUGAUAAGUUCAAUCUCUGCAUGUCAAUAAAUUAUAGUUUUUUUCGAUUUAAAACUGGAUGGUUAGUGUUAGGAAUCCAAAUGAAUCUGGUUUGGCGGAGCUUCUGUCCCAAUCUACUCCAAAAGGGAAAAUAUUUGAAAGAUAAUAGUAAAUUUAGGCAGUAAAUGAAGUCUUUUUUAUGAUCUGCGGAGGAUUCGGAGAGAAAGAUGAUGAAAAAUUAAUUCGCUUCAUAAUAUGCCCUGAAUAAAGAUUUAAAUUGUAGAAUUUUUUUUUCGAAUAUUAUUUGAGUUUUAAAUAUUAGUUAUUCCUAAUAUACAUAUAAUGUGAAAAAUAGUUGCUUUUAAUUAAACUAAUAAAAUUUCAUUAUUUUACAUUUUAUUUAAUUGAACUAAUAAAAUUUAAUUACAUUCAAUUCAAAUUUGUAUAAAAAAUAGAAAGAAAAAAAAAAUUUGUGGGGGCGCAUUCAGGGUGACAGGCCUUAAGUGAGUUUUUAGGCAAAGCAGAUUAUGAAAGAAAUAUUUACUCCCAUACAGGGGUAGGACAACCAUACUUGGUUGAGGAUCUUCUUAAUGAGUUCUUAUUAACACAGUUUGGCGAGCCGUAUAAUUCAUAGCACCUGUGAAUUUUAAAGGUCUAUUUCAAUAUAUCUUGAAGGUUUUUACUGAAUCUUAACAUCAUAUUGAAUUUUCGAUUCUGCUAUAGGAAGGAUCUAUCGACACAAUUUUUUGUGUAGUGCUUUUUUAACAGCACUUCUUAAACAACACUUCAUCAAAUAGUACUGUAUCCUACAGUAUGGCCGAUAAAGCCCUGAGUAUCCAAAAACACCUUCACAACUCAAAGAAACCCAAGAAAUCAUUUGAACGGCUGUUAACAUUUAAAAGCUAGAAAGAAACGUUUUGUACAGGGAACAGAAAUUUCUACAACUCUUAUGCAGUUUCAGAAAAGAGAAGAGAGAAGAGAUAAGACGAUGAUCGAGAAGGGCAGAGUUACAGUGCUGAAGCUAAUCUUCCUCGAAGUAUUUCUCCUCGGCGUCAUAGUUUGCUUCCCUGACCCAAUGAUCGUCCAGUCGUUCAUCGUUGUCGAUCUGGGAAUAGUCGAAAUGCUCCGUGUCUUCUCCUGCCAGGAACUUCUGCUGCAUUAUCAGCGUGAACUGCUCCAGCUGAUCCUGCAUCUCUUCUCCAGAUAAUGUCUGCUGGAAGUCCUCCGUAGCCUCACCCUCGGCGCCACCGGUGUUUGAUUCCCGCCCCUCGUCAAGAGGCAUCUGUACACAGCAAGCAGCACAAAGUUUUCUUUGUUAAGAAACAUUUCUACGUAUUCGCCAGCCAAAAAGCAUCAACGAACAAGUCGCCGUGCUAAUCCGAAAAUACCAAACAGAAGCUUUGAAUAUAGCCGGAGAGGCAAGCACAGUAAAAAAUAGCCCAUGCCCACAAUGAAUGCGCGUCGAACUAUAAUUGACAUUUAUAAAUCAGUAAGCAAAAUAGACUCAAAAGGAUCUUUAAAAGAAAAUUGAGAAGAAUGGCUGACAGCUUACAGAGUCGUCCUAUCUACAAUAUUUGACAAAAAUAAAUUGCUGGCUGCUAUUUACAAAGACGAAUUGCCAAUUGCUACCCAAAACAGGUAACAUGGCUACGCAGCUUAAGUUCAAAAUCCCAACACAUCCAGGCGAUCCUCUACAAUUACACAUUAACAACUAAUUCUGAAUAAACAGGAGCCUAUAAACAUGUAGCCCAAACCUCAGAAACUAUUGCCGUCGCACAUCUGCUGCUCAUAGUCAUUUUGUAGUUACAAAGGAAUCUUUAAUCACCUUCACUAUUUCCUGAUGUGGAACUAUCUUACUAUCCUUUCUCUUCAACCAGUUAAAUAUGAAUGAUGCUCCGCCCGUUUCAUGACAAACAGUUUGAUUGCUCUUCUCUAACUAAGAUUACCGUAAAGAAAUACUAAAUUUGAUCUGCAAGCACUCAUAAUUAUUGGAUGCAAAUCACUUAUUUUCCUUAAGAUAAACCAUUUUAAUCUAUAACGACGUGGCCAGGAGCACAGAAUAUGGUGAGACAUGUCAUGCAAUAUCAACAUGACAUUCCUUGAAUUAAAUAGGCAUGUGCAAGGUAAACGAACACAUAUAAUAUGCAAACGACGCAAAAUCCGGACACUAUAUAGACAAUAUUUCUCAAAUUUAUAAAUAUAUUAUUGUGGGCUUGAUGAUAAUCACUACUCUGUUCUUCAACAAUUUAGGUAUCAUCAAAACAGAUGUUUGAACAAAAAAGGAAAAUCACAAGGAUUUACAUGGAGAGAAAAAUCCGAAAGGCACACGCUGUACUAUGGUUUUUUUUGGCAAUGUUAACUCUAGUCAUGCAUCAAAAGGACAAGAUGCAUGGAAGAGUCGCUAUACUUUCAUGAUACAGUGAUUAGGACCUCUAACUUUUUUACUUUGAAUAAUUCAGUCCUCAAGAUGAAUUAAAAAUAUACAAAUUUGGGACAUGGAUUGACUACAUGGGAAAGUUUGGUGACUGAAAUGCCUAACUGUAAAGUUUAGGAACUAAGUCGCUAUAUUCACAAAAGUACAUGGACUAUCCAUAUCACUAUAGUCACAAAUGUACAGAGACUAUCUAUAUAUUUUAACCCUCCAUUAAAUAUGACAGAUCAUAAUUCACUAUAAUCCUUGAUAGAUAUAAACAUAUGACCUGCUAUCAUUAACUGAAAGGUAAAAAUAGUACGACAAAGAAACGUCCUCAGAUUCAUGACAACCAAAAUUUGGAUGUCUUUAUUCCAUUAAACAUAUUAUGUAUACAAGAUGCUAUCAUUGUCUUAAUAAAAGAAAUGGUUCCCACAAAGUUCUUUUGAGGAAGAGAGACACACCAAACCAUGAAUGUUUCUAAGCUAAAUUUACAUUUUUUAUUAUGUCCUGACAUCGAGUACUGGAAAGACUCAAAGAAGCAACACAAAAUUUCUUGGUUGGAGUUAUAUGUCAUCAAAUAUGAUCUAAGUAUUUCUACAGGCAAAACUAACAGAUUUAGGAUGCCCUUUCCCUUUGCAUCAAGCCAUCAACUCGACAAAAAUAAUGUUUAAAUUGAACAACCUAGGGAUUUCCAUCUGAUAAUCAGUUCGCCAUUCUUGAUUUAGGCAUUAAAUGCUUUUUACCAAACUUGUUUCAAUUAAUUUAUAUCCUUUAGAACUUGGACAAACUCCUCCUAUCUGCUUGAAUAGUACGAUUCUUCGUUUCUAGGCUAAAUUACAAAAAACACACCUGCAGUUUCUUCUCUUUCUUCAUUUGCCAAACUGCAUCUUAAAUUGCAUCUACUUUAGCCUUGCACUCACUCUCAUUCAAAAUAGAUUGAAAAUAUUGGGAUAACUGAUAAAUUAAAUGCAAAACAUUGCAAGCAUGAGUUGGGAUAUAACAAGGAUUCUAUAUAUGGACAGUUAUCAACCUUCAGACCUAAAAUAAAUCUAGAAUUAAAAAAUAAAAGGAAAAAGAUCUACUUCUCUACAACAGCAAGAAACAAAUUGGACAACCAUUUUACAGAUUUAAGAUGGUUCCGAGCAGACCAAUAUAUUCAGAAGACUGGGACUCACCGCAGUAAAAGUGUUUGACUACUAUUUUGCAAGACUUCUCUGUAUCAUCUCCAAGCUCAAGGGAUUAGCUCCCCACCACACUCAUGAUCAUUCUGUCCACAUUAUUCCAGGUUCCGCUAACAGUGAAUGUGAGGUUCAAGUCCAACUCUGGGUACCAUACUAUACACGCACAAGAUGGUUUUUUGGACACAUAAUAGUCACCAUGGGCUUCUUGUCAUGCAUUUUGGCUUGACUAAUAAUCUAUCGCCUUCUCACUUUGGUGAACACUGUUUCUACACUUUUCCUCAAACACUUACAUUAAUAAUCUUGGACCGCCUUGUCUACAACUAAUUUUAGGAGGACCAAAUGGCACAUUUGCAUGCGACAUACAGAGACAACGAAGUUUCAGAGGGAAUAUUUGGCCCACAUUUCAAUUUGAUUUGAAUUGCUCCUCAUUACAGAAUGUCAUAUUUCCUAAUUGCAAAGGAACUUUGACAAGAACAAUUAAUAUUGACAAGAACCAUUAAUUGUGAGGGCUAUGAAAGCACACUUUCAUCUUCUUUCCUAGUCUCUUUAGUUUUCUUUGAUUGGUUCAGAAUACAAUUUGGAAUUCACAAUCUUUUUUCGUAUUUAACAAAGGACUUUAGUAUUUCUUUUUUUAAUAUGUGAGGCUACAUUCGACCUUGAUCCCGUAAAUUCUCCUUAAGUUGUGCAUAGAAAUAACUAACAUAAUUUUGUUUCUACUAUUAGCUAUUUACAAAUCACAAGAUGCUUAUUAGUUCUACUAAUUUUUACCAUACCUCAUUAGCUGGACAGAUGAUAAAUUAGCAACAAAAGAGAGAACACAGGAUAACACUACAGCAAAAUGGUUAUGCAACCAAAAUAGCAAGUCCUAUGCUAACUAUUUUAACAGUCCUCCUGCAAUUUUAGAAGAUCAUAUAGAUCCUACAAUUAUCAGUGUGUUUUUCUUUUAAAAGAAGCCAUCUCCCCAAAAUUAACUAGAUAAACAUUAGUUAAUAUGGGUGCGUUUGGAUUGACGAAUCGCUAUAACUAACAUACUAAAGCGCAAUGGUGUUGUUUUGACGUAACUCGUACAGUCUAAAAGUUGAAUUCAAUCACUUCUUCUAUUUGUUUUGGUGUAACUUGAUGUUGAUGAAUUUAGUUUUUUGAGUUACAUUGUUUGUUUUGAUGUAUGUAAGUGGGUCUCAUUAUCUCCUAAAUAUAGUGAUAAAUUUAUCCCUAUAAAAUCCAACCUAUUAAAUAAUUAAAUUCCUCAUUAUUGUUUGGAAAUAAUCUUAAACCAUUGUAAAAAAAAAAAAAAAAAAAAAAAAAAACUCUAACCUGUUCUAAAGGAAAUAGAGUAUCGGUUUUAAUAUUUAAUAAAUUUUUUGGAGAAACUUGAGUGUGGUGGAACUUGAGUUCGGUACUCUAGAGAGAGAAGUCAAGACUCAAGAGUAGGUGAAGUGGAGGUUUAACGUAACUUGAAUUAUAUAUAUUUUUUUUUAUUUACAACAAAACAAACACCGGAAGUGAUGGAACUUGAGUUCCACCCCUCCACUUACACCAAACUAAACAGCCCCUAUACGUAUAAUUGGAGUUUGAGUUUGUUCCGCUCAGAAAAACCGUCACUAAGUGGCUAAGACGAUUCCUCCGUGAUGUUCUAAUUAGUAAACAUCCUUUACCUCUUAUAAAAAUCUUUUGAGCUAAGCAUAAAUGACCGCAUAAUUGUAAGACAUAAAAACAUAAGAGAGCUAAUCAAAGAAAGCAUAAUAUACUAAUAUCAUAUUAAAUCUUGUAGCAAUUUUGUUGAUUAAUCAAUCGAAAGUCGGUGCAGUUGCCUUAAAAUCAUCAGGGUCAAUAGGGCUAAGCCCACACUCCUAAGUCAAAAGUUUUAAAUGCUAAAUCAGUUGAAGUUAAAAGGAUGACUAGUUCUUGAGCUGAGCCCUUCUUUCUCAUCAAUCCUAUAGUAAUGGUGCAUGCUGCCUAAAAGAUAAAGAAUUAGUAAGAUUUGAACUCUUAAAAAUUAGGAGACCCAUAAAAGCAAGGUUCUGUACUUCUGUACUACUUGGCGAUGCCAUUAGCAGGUCAUAAUGAAUGCGUCAGGCAUGGACAUGAAUAUUGAGUUGCGUCCCAAAUCCGAACAUGAUGAAUUCAUGCAAACUUCUCGCUAAGUUCAUUUUUAGUCCGACAAAAUGGUCGGUGAUUUUAAACAAUCGAAUUCCCGAAUCGUGUGUUCUUUGAUUCUCAACAAGGUAAUUCCCUUUUAUCUAAAAAUCUAGACAUACAAAUUUUGUCCAAUAGAAUAACAUAAUAACUUCAAAAAUGGUAUGCUUGUGUAGGCUUAAGAAAUAGUACCUUUGCUGCUUCUUCCUCUUCCUCUUCCUCCUCCUCCUCUUCUUCUUCCUCCUCCUCCUCUUCUUCCUCCUCUUCCCUUGCGCACCCACCGACCCACUCUCUCCUAUCGACGCCUCGCCUCUGCUGCUCGCCUCUGAUCUUCUCGACGAUCGCCGCCUCCUCGCAGCGCCGCAGCAGCGUCUCCAACCACCGCUCACCGGGCCGGGACAUCGCCCGCCCCGCGGGGUCCUGGAACUGCCCCAGAUACUCAUGGUGGAGGUACGGCUCCCGCUCCCGCAUCGCCUCCUCGGAGAAGUACUCCCCACCGCGCACCAGCCGCUCCAUGUACGCCCUCCGCCGGUUCUUCACCGUCGCCAGCCGCGCCCGCGUCUCCUGGACCGUAGGCGUCUCCCGCACCCGCCGAAGCCGCGCGAGGUGCCACGCCACCUCGUAGUCGUUGCCGAGGGCGUCGAACGCGUCGAGCUCCUCGGCCGUGAGCUCGGAGCCGUAGCGCUCUGAUCGAGAAGAGGAGAGGUUUCGAUUUAGAGAGUUAGGGUUAGGGUUAGCGUUAGGGUUAGGGUUAGGGGUUGGGAGCGGGGAGCGUACCGAGGAAGAGAGGGGGGUCGCGGGAGAGGAGGUGGAGGAGGGCGGAGUGGCGGAGGGAGGAGGGGUCGGGGGCGCCGCCGCGGUGGAUGGCGCCUGGGAAGUAGAGGCCCUGGAUGGCAGACAGCCGCGCCGCGAUGCCCUCCAUCGCCGACCGCUCCAUGGUUUGCUGGCCUGGCUGCGCCGCUGGCACUUCUGGACGCGCCGUUCAGGGCAGACUGCUAAUAUUUACAAUUCAAUUAAUUAAUAUUAUUAUUUAUCCAGCUACUGCACUCUUAUUAUGAUUAUUAUAUAAUAUAUACUUCUUUUUAUACUUAUAAAUUUUUAAAAUAUUUUAUUUUUAUAAUUAUUUUUAUUUUACUAUUCCACAAAUCAUCUGCUCAAUUUGUAAAAUCGCUAUUAUUCUAACUGUAUAUUUUUUUAUUCAACGGUCGAAAACUUAUGAUUACUAGCGCAGUAACCCGCGCGAUGCUGCGGAAAAAUAUUAUUAUAAUAAAUUUUUAUCAUAUCUACUGAAUUUUGUGUUUUAGAGCGUAAACUAUUUUUUCAUCUUUCAAAAUACCAAAUUUUGCUCAUUUUUCGACUUAUUUUUGUAAUAUUCAACAUAUAACUUUGAUUUUUUUACUGCAAAUUUUGCUAGUUUUUUCCCUCCAUAAUUAUACUGUUUGAUUUUAUUCUUCCUCUGAUUCUAAUUUUAAAACUUAUUCUCUGUAAAUAAGUAAAAACAUAUACAUUAAAUUUGAAAAUCUUAUCAAAACGUAACUGAAAGCAUAAAAAUAAUAUUAAAAUAAUUAAAAAGUAAGUAAAAGUAUAAAAAAAUUUAAAUAAAUGAAAGAUAGUAAAAAAAAUAUUUGGAAUACAUAAGAAGAAAAGAAUGAAGUAGAAUGAAUAGUAAAAAUAAUAAGAAAAGUAAGCAUAAUAAUAGCUGAUUAUACUAAAAAAGUACUGUAACAGUAAUAGCAAAUCAGAAAUAACAAAGUAAAAUAAUAAUAUUUUUUUGCAAUCCAGAGUUAUAGUAGAAAAAAAUAAUAAUAGUAGAAGAUUAAGUGCAGCGGUACAAAAAAUUAAUUAGAAUACAUAUGUAGAACUUAAUAGUAAAAAAAUAAUUUGGAAAAAAAAAAACAAAAGAGCUAUAAGAAAAAAUAAAGCGAGAAAAAAUAGAUGAAGAUACAACAAAAGAAUCACUUAAUAAAAAGAAGAGUUACAGAACCUAACCAGCAAAGAUUUUAAAAAAAUAAAAUAGCUAAGAACCAGAAAAAGCUACAAAAUUAAUAUAAAAAGAAAAAUAGAAGGAUAAAUUAAAAGGAGCAUAUGAUGUUGCUCAAAUUUCUGCUUCUAUUACUGUUGUUUCUACUGCAUCUUCAACCCUUUUUUUUUUUUAUUUGUUUUUCUUACAUAGAAAGAAAAUGAGUACAAACAUAAGAAAAUUAAAAAAUUGUUUCUAUUGUGUACAUGUAAAAUAAAAAUUGAAUAACAUUCUAAACCAUAAAAUUGACAGUUACUUAUGUUUUCAUAGUUGGUAUUGCCGCUGAUACUUUUAAUGCUGGUGAUGCUCCUUCUAAUUUUACUCUAGGCUUAGACUUCAAUAAAUUUUAUUAGUAAUCAAUAAAGAUAAUUUAUACAUUUUAACUGUUACAAAAAUGAAUUGUACCGAAAAGUAAAAAUUACCUCAAUAGUUACUUCAUCGAUUGUUGAGAGAAAUCAAUGGUUGCAACAAUUGUACAAUUGCUAUCCGAUCAGUUUUAUCAUAUAAAAAUUUGUUGAUAUAUAAUCAUAUAAUUAUUCAUUUUUCAUCAUCGUCAAUAACAUAAGAAAUAAAAAACGUAUAUAAUAAAUUUGUAAAAUCUAUUAAAAAGUAAUUAAAAUUAAAAAGGUAAAUAUUAAAAUAAGUGAAAACAUUUAUUUGAAACUAUAUAGAAAUUUUUUAAAUAGCUCUCUAUAAUUGGUAACCAAAAAAUUAAAUAUCUCACUAAUUCCUAAAUUAGAGAAUGUUUCUAUAUUUUUUUCUUGGUUAUUAAUUUUGCCUAGUUGUCAGGGAGCAUAGAUUUAGCGAAAUGAACUAAUUUUUCUAUUGUAAAUAUAUAAGCAGGCACAUUUAAUUUGAAUAGCUCUCUUAUCCAUAAAUUAGAGGAUUAAUAGUAAUUUUUAUUUUUUUCUAAAAAAAUAUGAAUAUAGUAGGUUAAUUAAACUUAAUAUAUAUAAAAGGGUUAUGAAUAGAAACGCUUACAAAUUCAAAACCGAAUGAUCGCAGAAGCCACCAAAAGCAUGCCGACGGUAAGAAAGCAAAAUUCAAAUUUAUUAAAGAAUAUAUAUGCAGUAGGCAAACCAAACUAAGUUUAUAUAGAAAAAUUAUGCACAGAAAAACUUAUAUACUUAAAACCAAAUGACGGCUGAACAACCACCAAUAGUUAACAUAUUCCUAAGUCAAAGAUAUAUCAACAUUAUUUUUUAAAAAACUUUAUAUGAUAGAUAAUCGAAGUUACAAAAAAAAAUAACAAAUAGAAAUCAAUGAUAAAAAUCCUUGAAAACAGAGAAACUGUUGCAGCCAACUGCGGUCAGUUUCCUGAGAUGAAAGAAAUAAUAUUCAGUAUUAAAAAAAUUAUGUUGUAGGCAAAUUGAAAUAUUAAAAAGAAAUAUAAGCAUAGAUUUGAGAUUUCUCACAGAAAAAAUUUUCUAUUCUAUAGGAAUUGUCUUUAUAUCUUCAUUUGAAAUCAGGCAACAGCAUUACAGUUUAUAGUGUCAUCUAAUAAUAUGUUCUUUGAUUAGAGAAAGUUGAGGCAAUUAGAGGUUCGCAAUUGUCUUGGCGUCUACAUUGACCAAUUAAUUACCUGAAAUUCAAGCUUCAAAAUAGUUUAAAAUUUUUAAAAGACAAUUGCAGAAGAAUUAUCGUGGUUCAACUACAAAUUAGCAAUAUAAAAACAAUAAUCAUAACCAAUAAUAAUGUAAGGUGGUGGAGUGCUGACUCUGCAGAUUUCCAGCGAUGACCUUUAGUGUUUUGGCUCGUGCGCGACGUAGGGAGGUCGGAUCACUGUGAAACUUGGUUUAUUGGAUUCUAGACUUCCAAAGAAAUCCAUAAAGCCCUGAAUUACAGAUUUUGGUUGAAGUUAGCUUGGUUGUUUACACGUUUUUCUAGACUGCUGGCAAUAUUGAGCUGAAAUUGAGGAUUUUGAGCUUUUCUUGAUGCUAUCUUUGUAGGCAGUGGACUUUUGGACCUGAGACACAUCAUUCUUCUAUACUUACUGGAUUUGAGACCUUCCUCACCUAAUUUGGAGGUAGUUAGGUGAGUUUUGACAUUGCAAUUGAGAUUAAAUUAAGCCUUAGUGCUGAAAUAGUGUUAAUUGAUGGAAUUCAAUGUGUAGAGCUUGGAGAUAGCUUGAUUUCUGGUGUUGGAGGAUUUUGGUUGAUCCAGCAGGGAUUAGCAUUGGUUCGGGACCCUUCUUUGCUGCCAGGAUUAGCAAUUAAGGUGGGUGUAUCAUUGGUUUCGCUCCUAAGUGCAUGUUUAGUCGACGCGUAUGAUUUUCGGUUCUUGUAUAUCAUGCUUAAUUCAUUGAUUAGCAUCUUGGCUAUAAUAUGAAUAUUGAAGCAUGCUGAAAUGAGUAUUUACAUUAUUCAUGUUGGACUUGGAAAUAUCUUAGGAGAAAAUUGCGUUUUGACCCGUCAUAUGAUUCUACUACCUGAUUUAGCUUUAGGAGCCGUGUUUUGAUUGUAUCAUCGCUGUUUCAACGCGGUGGAUAUCCGGGGUAGUUUAGAAUGCAUUUUACGCUCGUGCUGGGAUGCCGAGCUUAUUUUUACAGCAGAGUCUAGGCUGUUUCGGGUUGUCGGGUGCCGUCGGGGUAGAUGGUGGACCCAGAUUCUUGUUUUGGUCUCAGAUUGUGCCGAGAGCACGUGGGUUUGGUUUCUAGACCUGUUUUGACCCUAGUUAUUUGACUUUGGCUUGUUAGAGCCUGAUUGAGCUCGACAGAGAUACGCUUGCAUACUCGGUUGGGUAGCGCCCACGAGUGCUACUUCGGAGUCGGGCUUUGCGAGUUUGCGUUGGUGUCGUUCGUGCAGGUUGGACUUGCUCUCAACGAACUAGUUAGUGUAGAGGUAGCUGGAUAGUCGCAACCAAGCGGGACGGGUGUGUUCACAGUCCCAGGGACGGGUAUGAUUACAGUCCUUACUUGAGUUUGGGUCUGAGUUGACAUAGUUCUACAGAGGGUUAAGAGUUAGAGCAUGAUAGUAUAGCGAUAUUUAGUUGUAAAUUCGUUCCAGCUUUCUUUACUAUUCCUGCUUAUCCUUGUAGACUUAGUCGGUGGACCGAUGAGUUCGAGGGUGGUACCCACUAAGAACUACUUUUUGUAGUAGUUCUCACGCCUCGUUGUUACCCUGUUUUUGCAGAGCCUUCUGUUCCGGCUGCUGCUACUACCGAGACUGAUCGUGGUAAGGGCGUUGCGAGUUAGAGCCCUUCCAGACAAGUCGCAGAGUUAGAGGAGCACCAGCUACAGGUAGUUGUAGUUUUUGGGUCUUUACAUACAGUUGUUAUAUCUCGCCAGAGCGAGUAGUUGUAUACCUGGAUUACAUGUAUGUAUUGAACCACAGUUUAUAUAUAUAUAUGGUUUAUUUCUUUAGCUGCUCUGUACUACUGUUUGUAGUAUUGUAUGGUUACGGGUGCUUCUAUUUUUUGCUUCGUAUACAGGAAAAAUACUUAUGUAUACGGCGGGUCUGUUAGUGAGCCCGAAAAAACGAGUAAUCCGGGGUGUGACAUAUAUAGGAUAUAGAAAGAAACAGUAAAUAAAUGAAAGGCGGUGAAUGAUUCACCGUCGACUUUAAAAAAAGGGAGAAAGCGGGAAAGAAAUAGAAGAAAGCGAUGAACGAUUCACCGCCUUUAAAAAAAAUUCUGAUGUGGCGCCGACGUGGCGAAAGAAAGAUUAGUUUUUCAAAUAAAAUUUUGAGAGGGUUAUUUCGUAAAUUUUAAAAUUUUAGAGAAUUAUUUUAUUUUAUAAAAAAGUCCCUUGUAAGUCUAUCACUAUGGCAGUUUCGUCAUCUUAUUAUGGCCUCCGAUAAAUCAAUGAAUAAUUAAUGAAUAUAGCUGUAUGUUUAGAGCUUUUACUGUUUUCAGCUUUGGGUCUAUGAUCGACAUAGUGUAAAGAUAACUCAAACAUACAUUUUGGAUUUCAACUCGUUUUAACGUGGUGGUGAUUUAAAAGUAAAAAACAAUAUCAUCAACCCCGAGGUACAUCCGCAGACCUCGAGCGACUCACCGCAUGUUUAAUGAUUCGGAUAUAAAGUUCACAAUAUUUAAAACGUUGAUUCUUUCAACUGUAAAGAAGAGGAUUUAUUUGAUUUGUUGAAAAAUAAUAUAUGAAAUAGAUAGAUUGUAAGAAAAUAAUAUAUAAAAUGUACAAUUUUUUUUUUAGGGGCAAAUAGAUACUGUACAGUGGCACAAAAUAUAUUUAAUAAAUCAGAUUUUCGGUGCAUGGUUUUAAGAUACGCGCUGCAUGGGGUGUAUAUAUAGCUGCAUCUGCGGCGUAUCAACGUCGUACAAUUUGUUCAGCACAUUACAUCUUUUGGCGGAACUUUCCAACCAGACCGAGGGCGAUAGGUGUCGCACUGGGGAUCGAGCACCACAAGUCGUACGAAGUGCAAGCUGGCAGCCCAACCGAGAGGACCCGUUCCCCUCGCGGCAAAAGCUUGAGAUCGCCUCGAUCCGCGUGCCACAUUUUUCCUACCAAUCUUUCCUUUCCUUUGCUUCCUUUCCUUUGCUUCCUACAGUUAUCAAAUGAGGCAUCAACUACAAAGUCAAAUUGAACUGAUUCUAAAAUUAAAAAUUAAAGAAAGUAAUUUUUGGAAUCCAAAACUUACAAAAAAAUCCAUUUAUUUAGAAGAAUAUUAGAAAUAGAGCAAUCGAGGAAGUGAAGCAAAGAUAUUUCAAACUAUCAUACUACCAUAGGUGUGAGAAAAGUAUCAAAGUAGGAAAUCUAAAAGAUGAUUAUCCAAUCCAAUAGUUUUUGAUGUACACAGGCUGCACAUUAUCAAACAACCCAAAAAUAUCAGCCUUCACAAAAUUAAAACCAAAAAAAUAUCAGUGAAAAGUAGAUCCUGAAUCCAUAUCAGUGAAAAGUAGAUCCUGAAUCAAGGAAAAGGGUGCAUACUGUCAAGUGAGGCAUCAACUACAAAGUCAAAUUGAACUGAUUCUAAACUUAAAAAUUAAAGAAAGUAAUUUUUGGAAUCCAAACUUGCACUAUAAAGAAGCCCAACAUCAGCCUCCACAAAACUAAAAAGUUUAAAAUCACAAAUAAAUCAUGAAAAAGUAUAUAUUCAAGCGAGUUGAAAUUAAAUUGAACUGAUCCCAAACUUGAGAAUUAAAGGAAGAAGUGAGUGGAAUCCAAACCUACACUAUAGAGAAGCCCAACAUCACAGUAUAUUUAUGCAAUAACUUUAUUAAAUUUAAAGGAAGAAGUGGGAGAUUAAAAAGCACUAUAGAACAUAGAAAAUCUAGAAGCCACAAUCUGCAGUAAGCGUAGUCAUCAAAAUACAUAUUUAAAUAGACUAGUGAGUAGCUUUAAACCAAAAUGCAAAUAUGAAAUAAGCGACGCAUAGGAACGAGACGGUUACAAAAAUCAUGCGCGCAUACAUAAUCAUGAGUUACAAAAUGAGCAGUAGCAAGGCUCGAAACUUUUCUUUUGACCUUCAACAAUAAAACUAAGGGAGCCGAUGUGCCAUUGGAUGGAUCGGUUUCUGUAUUUGGUGGAAUAGUGUAACGACCCGACCAGCCAGCAAUAAUAACUCAUUGGGCCCAAACAACCGGUCCAAAAUGCUUAAGCUCAGUUAUUAUGUCUAGCCCAAUCAAGCUUAUAUACUUCCACAUCUAGCCAUAACUACCUGAUGUGGGACUGUUGGGGUGUCACAGACUCCCUUCCGUUUAGGCCCUGACGUUCUCGUCAGCCCUGAACACACACACAAUCCAAGAUCACUAGGCGAUGUGAGACUUGUCUCGCUAGCCUUUGUCAUUCUGGCCUUGACUAAGUCUGUCAAUUACCGACCCUGGCUUAGUCUGUCAUUCUGAUCCUGGCUCAGCCAAGACUCAUCUCACAAUUCCAACUGGUGAACUGGCUCUGAUACCAAAUGUAACACUCCGACCAGCCAACAAUAAUAACUCGUUGGGCCCAAACAACAGGCCUAAAAUGCUUAAGCCCAAUUAUUAUAGCUAGCCCAAUCAAGCUUAUAUACUCCGACAUCUAGCCAUAACUAUCCGAUGUAGGACUAUUGGGGUGUCACAAAUAGGAAUCAGACGGUUAAUCACAGCAUGGCACUCUUCAAUAGCACGACGUAUCUGGACAUGCUCGAUCACGAACUCAUUUAUCUGUGCAAGAGUAGCGACGUAACAAUCCUUCACAAAGUUAUACUCACGAACCAAGUUCAUAUACUGUGCGAACAACAUAGCAUACUUUGUGGCUAGAUGAUUGUAUAAAUUUUUGUAAAAGAUACUAUCAUCAAAAUUUACAUCUCUAACUUGCAAAUCUAAUUCCUCCACCAUCCUCUUAGUAGCAACACGAGCAGCAUCAUGCUCAGCCUCAGCAGAUGUGGAGGAUUGCAACCCCCAACAUCGUACAAUUUCAAUUAUAGAUUCAUUUCGUUCAAUCGGAAGAUCUAUAUAUGCCAGGUAAGUCCCCUCUGCAGCGGGAGCAACAACACACUGUGAUGUUUCCAUAUGCAGCUUCUCACAAAUCUCACGGAACAAUCGAAGGUAAGAAAGCUGAACCGUCGACAUAGUAGUAGCUGCAAAAGAAGAAGGCCGAGGAAAAAAGAAAGGGAAAAGGGAGGUAAAAGAGAAGUUAGUUGUAAAAAAAUACCAGGUCUUAAAAAAUAGGGUAAGACAGUUGUUAAAGCUAAAACGCAACAGCAAUUGCAAAAGUAAAUAGUAAAGAAUUAGCAGAGCAAGAAUAGUUGCAAGGAAGACAAAAUAAUAGAGAGCUUAAAAAGUAAUAAAGUAAAAAGCUAAAGGAUUCAUCUUACUUAAAGAAGAACUUUGACAGUAAUAAAGUAAAAAGGGAAAAAGAUUUAGCUUAGGUAAUAAAAGAAGUUUUAAAAAUAUUGAGAAAGUACUGCUGAAAAAAUGCUAUAUAAUGAAACCUUCACAAUAGAGGGUAAGACAGAAUAGUUGGAAAGAAGCCUAAGUAAUAGAGAGCUUAAAAAGUACUAAAGUAAAAAGGAAAAAUGAUUCAGCUUACUUAAAGAAGAAUUUAAAAAGUAGCAAAGUAAAAAAGAAAAAGGAUCGGCCUACGUAAUAAAUGGAGUUUUAAAAAUAUUGAGAAAGACUGCUGAAAAAAUGCUAUGUAAAGAAACCAGGAGAAAGUAUUUGAAAUGAAAGUAAGAAAGUAACCAGAAGAAAAUAUUUGAAAUGAAAGCAAGGCAAAGGCAAGGAAAUCUGCAAGGCUCAGGUAAGGUAGGCAAGUACUUUAAUCCAACAGGAUUGAAGAACCCUCAAGGCAAACAACAGAAUAUUCAUAAUUGAUCUAUCAGUAUUGAAAAGAGGCAUGCAACCCAUCAGCGAAAGAAGAACCCCCAAGGCAAAUAAUCUGAAAAUAGGAAGUGGCUGCCUAUGUUAAGGCCGUCCAAACUUCUAUUUGUUCAUGCCUGCUUUUCGUAACUUUUAGUAUUUUGCAUUCUUUGUGCCUGACUUUCAUCAUUGCCUAGCAGAUGAAAAUAGAAAGUGGUUGCCUGUAAUAAGGCUGUCCAAACUUUUAUUUAGUAUAAGACACCACUUUCUAGCACACGGGCAAGGAAGAAAAUAGAAGGAGUAGGAGCAAAAACCAAAAAGCUAAAAGUCAGUGCAAGUUCGAAAAGACAAUAAAUCGAAACUCAUAAUACGAAAUACAGAAAGAAAGUUGGGCAAAGCCGGCCUUUAAAAAAUCAGUAAAGAUGGCCCAUGAAGAACAGAAAACUUUAUAGCCAUGGUUUUUAGAAAUGAAUAAACCUUUCUACAGAUAGAUAAGAGGAAACCACACUGGCAGUACUCUAUUUCUGUCUUUAUCUAGACAACAUUUAUCUACUACAGAAAUUAAAAGGAGAGGAGAAGCAACCCAAGAACAACCUCUGUGAGUAUGCAGUAAAGUACAAACUAAUGAAGGGGCCUGCAAAACAGCACAACUAUUAUUAGUUAUUAUUAGCAGAAUAAAGAGAGAGUAAUUACACAAGUAAUUAAUGUUUUGAAGUCAGGAAUAUACCUUCUUGUCUUGGAUUGAGGAGUACAAUGUCGCAUGCAGUAAGUAACAAAUGUGUUCAGACCCACAGACCCAUAGGAGUGAAGAGGGUGUGAGUGGUAAGAAUAAUGAUGUAGAAGAUCUUUCUUCAAAAGAAAGAAUCUAUGCAAUCUUUUAAAACUGUAACCAGAUUCAAAACUCUAACCAGAUCUGUAAAAAAAAUAAAAUAAAUAUAAGCAGAUUUGCAAGAACUUCUCAAAAUCAUAGAGGCUAGGUUUAGAUAUAGGAGCAUCUAUAUCGAUGAGGAUUCACUGUAAGAUAGAAGAAAAGCAGCGCAGGGACAAAAAGAAGGGAGAAAAGGGAAAAAUGUAUAAAAUCCAUUCAAAAUCUAAAAGGAGAAGAAAUGAAUAAAAAUGUAUAUAAAAUCCAGUAAAAAUUAGAUAUAAUCCAUUUAAAAAUGCAUAUAAAAUCCAAUAAAAAUAUAAAAGAAGAAGCAAUGAGUAAAAAUUUGUUGGAACUCUCAUAGAUCUAAGGGCAAGAUGUAUAUAAAAAUCCUAAAAAUAUAAAAUAAACCCUCAAAGCUCUAAAAAUAGCCAGGUAGGUUGCUCAUCACCCGCGGUCGAAUGGAGCGGCGAAGCGAUCCAGAGAGGCAUCGGAGUUGGGGACUAUGAAGGAGUGCCAGGAUAGGUCGAUCCAAUCAACCGGGGGAGCGAAGAGAGAGGCCUCGAAAGAGGUGUACAGAGAGAAGUAUGGGCACCAUAGAGAGAAGAGAGAGAGAGGGGAUAGGGCAGUAAUCAGAGAAGAGAGGCAGGAAGAGGAGAGACUGAGAGAGAGAUAGAGGAUAGGGCAGGCAUCAGGAAAGAGAGGCAGGGAGAGAAGAGACGCCUCGAAAGAGGCGUAUACCGAGGAGAGAGAGCGCGAGAGAGAGAGAGGAUAGGGCAGUCAUUAGAAAAGAGAGGCAGGGUGAGUUGAGAGCGAGAGAGAGAUAGAGAAUAGGGUAGGCAUAAGAAAGAAAGGCAGGGAGAGGAAAGACGCCUUGAAAGAGGCGUAUACCGAGAAUAUAGAGCAAGAGAGAGAGAUAGGGAAGCAGAGAGAGACAUAUAGAUAGCGCCUAAAAGAAAAGGAAAAAAGGUUUAUACGACGUGGAGGUGGGAAAAGCCACCACGUAUACUGAGGAAACCGUCAAAUUAUGAAGUUGUAUGGAUACUUUUUUUUAUAUAUUUAUAAUUUUUCAAACAUUUUAUUUUUAUAAUUAUUUUUUCUUACUAUUCAAUCAACCAUUUAUUUAACCUUAUAAAACCACUAUCAUUCAAAUUAUAUAUUAUACAUUUCUUCACUCAACGGUAGAAAACUUAUGAUUAUAAAAAAAAAUAUUAAUUCUAACUAAAUUUUUAAUAUAAUAUAUUUUAAAAUAUACUAAAAAAUAAUUAUUUUCAGUUCGGAUUCUAAAUUCUUUGAUCAAAUUUGAUUUAAGUUAGAAAUUUUCAAAAUUGGAAUUUAGGUUCCAGAUUGGAUUGUCAGUUUGGGUGUGGAUUUUUUAAAAACUCACCCAUCCGAAUCCGACCGUUUGACUUCCCUAACUUAGUUACUUUUUUUUUUUUUAAUACAAAUUUAAUUUUUUAAAAACAAACGAAUAAAUACUAUCUUUUUAUUAAAAAAAAAAAAAAAUCCUCGGUCCAGCUCAACCACUCCCAUUCGCUUCUUCUUCCUCGACUCCAACGCCUCCACAACUUCAUCUCCCUCCCCCCGCCCCUGCAGUCUGUCAUCGCAUCUCCUUUUCUAAUUACAAAGAAGAUGCUGAUGCUGAUAGACUGCUCCCGCUGCCGCACGCCGCUGCAGCUGCCGGCGGGGGCGCGCUGCCUGCGCUGCGUCGUCUGCGGCGCCGUCACCUACGUCGCCGCCGCCGCGGCCGACGGCCCCCCUCCCCCGCCAUCGCCCUCCCCUGAUCGUUCCAAUAAUUAUGGCUUCGGCGCCACCGCCCCUCCGUGGGGGCCUUCGCAGCCCCCGCCCAGCCCCCACGGGCGGAAGAGGGCAGUGAUCUGCGGCAUCGCCUACCGGAACACCCGGAACGAGCUCAGGGGCUCCAUCACCGACGCCGCCUACAUGAAGCACCUCCUCGUCAACCGCUUCAAGUUCCCCGAACCCUCUAUCGUCGUGCUCACGGGUACGCACUUGCUGAAAUUACAGCUCUAAUUUGAUUCUCUUAUGGUGAUGAUGAUGAUGAUGAUGAUGAUUGUGUUGGGGCGAGAGGUUGUUAAAGGAACUUUUAAAUUGUAAUGACUCAGCCCGCUAGUAUUAACACGGACUCAAAAUGUUUAAGCCCACUAGUUGAUAAUGGAAUGCUAGGCCCAAUUAGGGCCGGCAAUCCUGCUUGCUGCUCGCGAGCCAAUUCGUAUUCGGCUCAAAAUGAGCUCGAGAUUGAUCGAUCGUUUAACAACCGACCCGAACACGAUGAAUUUUUCAGCUUGAAAUAUUAACGAGCCGAACACGAGUGCGUCAAUUCACUCAUGUUCAACUCGAUAUAGCUCAAAUCGAUGAUGGAACAUCCGAUUCGACGAUCGGUUUUGUUAGACAAGAUCUGCAGUGUUAGAACUUUUUAGAAACCAAAUUUUGUAAUUUUUUAACUUCGUAUCCUUAAAAUGAACGGCUGGAAAUAAAAAUCUCAUAAAAAAUAAUGAUAACAGACUCAAAUUUUAAACUAGUAGUAUUGAUCUUGCUUUUGAUGUUAAAUAGAAUUUUCUAUUAAAGUUUAUGUAAUUUGGAUUCUUUUACACUGUUGAACUUACAAACGUGCCACAUCGACCGUUAAAAUAGUCAUUUUCAAGACCCUUUGAUCACUUGGUAAAUGAUGUUGAAAAAUUAUGAAAUUUGGUUUCUAAAAUCUAAAUAGUUUUAAUAGCGUAGAUCAUCUCUAACGAAGCCGAUUGUCGAAUUGGAUGUGCUAUUAUCGAAAACAACUUACAAGCAAAAUGACCUCUAUCCUUUAGAAAGCACAAGAGACGUACUCUCUCUCUAUAUAUAUUACAAAUUUCUACUAUUUGGAUUUUAGGUCAACCCAAAUGUAAAUAGACCUAUAUUUUGUGAAUUUUAAAUAUUAGAUUAAGAUUCUAAUUUUUUAAUUCUCUUUAAAAUUUUCAUUUAGUAGCAAGGCUAAUAAUUUAACUUGUUGUUCGCCAGCCUGUUCAGCUCAUUAAUAAACAAGCCGAACACGAGAUAAAUUUUUUAGCUCGAUAUUUUAACGAGCCAGCUCGUGUUCGGCUUGUUAAAUAUAUAAACAAACACUAGACGACUCCAACUCGCUCGUGUUGGGCACGUCGAUAGCCCUAGGCCCAAUCACGAUGUGAGACCUAGCUCACAUUUUUGGCUAGCAAGCUGGCUCUGGUACCACCAAAAUAAUUACCCAGCCUGCUAGUACUAGCAACUUGUUGGGAAGCCUACUUAUUUAUACUAGAGUGCUUUGCAUAUAUACUCCCAUAUUGAGCCUCUUCCCCAUCUAAUAUGAAACUCUUGCUAUGUCAUGCGAUUACUCUAAAGGCUUAAGCUUCCCUAUCCGAUUGGAUUUGAAUUCAGGAUCCGAUUCUUUAAUACAGUGCGAAAGAGCCUACUAUUCUAAAAGUUUAAACAGUUAUAGAACGGCAUUUUUAAUCAUUUAUAUUCAAUAGUUACACUGAACUUUAGGGACUUUCAUUUUCUACACUUUUUUUCUGAAGUUCUUCACAAAUCUUGCAUUAUAUAUGCCAAUCCCUUAAUUUGUUAAUGAAUGAUAGCUGACGUUGGGCACAGUUAUUGUAGUUGGAACCUAUCUACUUUUCUUAGUUAAUUCUUCUCUUAAAUGCAAUAGUUGUCUCUUUUUUUAAAAAAAAAGGAAAUCAAAUGUUGAGUGAAUUGUCUAUUCUCGGAUGCCAUUCAUUUGAGAAGUUAACAGAAUCUCUAAACUUAAUUAAGAAAACUCUUAGAUAUUUAACUCCUGAAAUCAAUCUUACUCAAUCUUCCUAAUUUUCUCCGGAGACUUGGGCUUCUAUGUCUUCAACAUAGUUUGAUUUUCUCCUUCUUGAACUUUGUCACCUUCGUAGAAAACUUCUUGAAUUUUUGCUAGUGUUUUCCCCGCUUCUCGUGUUGUUUUUGCUGUUAAAAUAUUCUCAACCAAUGACAAAUUCACUAUUUGGUAAAUAUAUGGUAAAACUUCUGUCUCUUUCUCUAAAUUUUUCUUUACCAAAUUCUUUCUCAUAAUUUCUAUUCUCUACCACAUCCGACAAAUUUUGGGAUUCUAAAAUACAUUGAACGAUGAUUUUCCAUCGCUUAAUGUUCGUUCCAUUGAACUUUGAUAAGCCAUGUUGAAGAAACCAAUCCAAAUCCAUAAUAGAACUCAAAAAUCCAAAAAGAAUUUUAGAUUCGUACCUUUUUAAUAAGAUGACAUUCUUACUGUAUCGAGAUCUAGCCGAGUUUUCACUUUUCCGUACUUCGACUUGCUUGCCGAGCCCCCUUAGUUAUCUGGUCAAGUCUUCUUUUAUCUCUUCAUAGGCUCUUCUUGCUCUCUUUUCAUCAAGCGUCACAACCACCUACUUUUGUGUUGUUUGUAGGCCGCCUUCUUCGAGGUUGUGUGUUGUUUAGAGGCCGACUUCGUCGAGCGAUUAUUUUAGUUGCUUUCACUUGAACGUCGCCCUCACAAUCUGCUAUGAGUCGUCUAGCUUUGACAUAACUAUUUGGCACUUUGGUUCUAUCUAGCUCUUUUCAGCUUUGUUGUCAUCUGACUUUGAUGUCGUUCAACACUAUACUAUUCUUUCCAUCUCUGAUACCAAUUGUUGAAAUCGGUACUUGCGUUGUUACCGAUUUUAUAAUCCAGGAUCUAAAAUACUAAAAUAGAAUAAUAUGGAAAAGAGACAUUGGAGAAGGAAGAUAAAUAAACUAAUACUUACAUAUUGAGGGACCCUAAUAAAUCUCAACUACUGCUUGGCCCUGGCUUCAUUAAGCCGUCAACUUACCUGGCUCAUAUCUCGGCCGUGAGUUUCUAAUCCACAGGUCCAUACAUAUAUAUAGGCCUCAACAAAGUAUCAAUCCCGAUCUAAAUUCAACUUCAAAUCGUAAUAACAAUCAAAUAAUUGAGCAUUAAACUUAUCUCUAAUUAUACAUUGGAAUUAAAUUUGGAUCAUUAUUCCAACAUGAUGAUCAGAGAAUUUGAGAUAUUUCAAUGGGAACUUCUUCAGCAUUUUCUUUCAACUCUGAACGGAGUUAUCUCUAAAAUGAGAGUGUAGCAGUUUUGGGUGGGUAAGUACGCAGAACUAUUGGAAAGCUCCUUUUCUUUUUGAUUUUGAAUUUAAACCAUAAUAAACUGGUCUGGACGUUUAUUAGUUUAAUAGAAGCCUGGAGCCCUAUUAUCAUACCAUAGAUUUUCUCUUUAGAAAACUAAAUCUUUUGUUUGGAUAUAUAGGCCAUGAAAAUCUCAAUGUCCAUGCAAGUUAAGCUACUUAGAUGGCCCUUUUUGUUUCUGCCGUCAUCAACUCUGAUUUUCAAUUUUCACAAUGAAACCGAACAAGUUUUAUAUACAACCUGGUCUGAAAUUUUUGGAUCUUGACUAAGAACAUUUUUGAUGGUGAGCCUAAAUGCUUAUGACUCUAGCUAUAAGCAGCUCUAACUAAUCGUAUUUUGAUUUUGCAGAUGACCAAACUGAUCCAUAUAGAAUACCAACCAAACAUAAUAUAAGGAUGGCAAUGUAUUGGCUCGUGCAAGGAUGCCAACCAGGAGACUCUUUGGUAUUCCACUACUCUGGUCAUGGUUCACAGCAGAGAAACUAUACCGGCGAUGAGAUUGAUGGUUUUGAUGAGACCCUUUGUCCGUUGGACUUUCAAACACAAGGAAUGAUUGUUGACGAUGAGAUCAACGCGACCAUCGUCAGACCGCUUCCUAGUGGGGUUAAGCUUCAUGCUUUUGUUGAUGCUUGCCACAGUGGCACUGUGCUGGAUUUACCUUUCCUUUGCAGAAUGAAUAGGUCAGUUUUUUUUUUUUUUUUUCUUUUUUUUUUAAGCAGCUUCUAUUCUAGUAGUUAUUUGCUUGUGACACAGUCUUCGUGUGCUUAGAGCUUCUUGUUCAAGAAUUUAAGGUGCCUAUCGGCACGGGCCCUGCCCAACAUGCUGUUCCGUAUCGACAAGAUAUCGGCACAAUACAACCAUCAUGCCAAUGACACAGCUCAAAAUCUUCUUUUAUUUGAAAUUAGUGAAUAGUUAUAUCAAUAGAAUGCAAAAGAUUUAAUAAAAAUAUGUAAUAAGCAAUUAGACUAUAUCGUUGCUGAAGAAAAUAAGUAUUUUAAGCCAUAGUGUGUCAACAUAUAGGUACUUUUUCAAGCGUCAAAUAUCGGUAUGGCAGGGAUGCACCGUGCCAUUCCGUGCGUCUGUGCUAGCAGUUCUUGGCAUGACUCCAUGCCACUCCAUAAAUCCUUGCUUUUGUUGUUUACAAGGCUAAACUUCAAAAUCGGCACUGUGGUAUAGUGCAUUUUCGCGUUGGUGCACUAUGGAUUCUUUUCUAUCACAUAGGUGCCCUGAGUUUGGUAUUGAAAUUAUUCCUCAAGGACCUUUUUUCUAGCCCUGUUGGUAUUUGUGUGUGUUUCCAGUUCAAAUCGUUGUUGGCUCGGUUUUUUUAAGUCUAAACUCAACCGAGAACCCGAAUGCAAGCCCAUCUUAUAAGGGGUUUCUGAUUAAGUUUGAAUCAGAACACGACCUAAGCCCUGACCUAACACGACCCAACCUGUUUAUAUAUAUAUAUAUAUAUAUAUAUAUAUAUAUAUAUAUAUCCGAUCCCAACUAAAAACUUUUGAAGCUCUAAAUCGGGCACCUAAAUUAUACAGAGGAAAUCAAAGGAUGCUGACAUAUUCAUGGGCUAUACUAUUGGAUCAUUUUCUGAAGUUAAUGCUCGUUAUAAACAGAUCCUCCACUUAUAAAGAAUUGUCUAAGAAAGUUUAUAAGUAUUUAAAUUACAGUUUUCAGUUCACUAAAUGUGAACAACUAGCCAAAUGUAAUCAUCAACUUUUUUCUAUUGUUGACUAUGCAGCUGCAAUCUUAACACUCACCUCAAGAUAAAACUUAUCAAUAUGUAUUGUUUAUAUCAAGAAUUUCCACCAUUAGAAUUGCAUUUGAGAUGGUGAAUGAUGUAGAUGAAUUUAAUUUGUUUGGUACUUAUGUAGUAGAGGAGGCUAAUUGUCUUUUUGGUCAAAUAAACUUGAGUUCGGAUAUGUCCAUUUCAUUAAUCCAAAUGCCAUUAGUUUAUGUAUACAGUGGGAACUCCUUGUCAAUUGGGCUUGGAAACAGUUCGUUCGACGCUCAAAAUUGUUUACUUAAAGGGGCCAACAUCCUGCCCUGUGGUGGGAGGCUAGGUUGGGCCAAGUCACGUUCGAAAUGGCGGGAAGUCGAGUUGGGCCGGAUCAUGUUCAAAGUGGUGCGAUGUUGGUUGGGUCGAGACACAAUCGAGACCUGUAGGCGCUGUAUCUAUACGUUUAAGUGAAUUAGUUGUGUUUUUCUAACAGCUCGAGCUUUUGGGCUUAAUGGCUAACGCCAACGAUCAGACAAAAAUGUCAUAGAAGCUCUUUACUUGGAAGUUCUAACUAUCUUCACUAACAAACUUAGAAAAUUAGGCCUUGUUUGGUUACACUUCUCUUUUCCUUUUAAUUUUUAAUCACAAAUUCUGUGGGAUAGAGUUUUCCGAUGUUUGAUGACGUUUUGGUUCUCGUUUCUGUUGGUUAGCAUGCAAACUCAUCUUCUUAAGAAAAAGAAACGAGAAUGUUGCUACUAAAAUUUUCACUUUGUUGUUCGUACGUAGUCAUAACAAUUGUGAUAUGCCAGCAUACACCAUAGCAUAAAAUUGAGUUUCAAACAUUCUUCCUUUGUGUCAACAUUCAGCAUUCCGAUAAACUUCUUCCUUCUUUGCCGAUUUAUCAACAUCGAAGUGCAGUUAUAAGGUCAAACUUUUCGCGCUUUUGCUUGGUUGAGAAGCAUUUUGUUAGUUAUGAGAUUUGUAGAUGUUGAUAUGUUAUCAUUCUUGAUUUUUUCAGAGAGCUAGUAAGUUUAUGUUAUCCAUACUGAUGUAGGAGCGGCCAAUAUGUAUGGGAGGACCAUCGGCCCCGUUCUGGAACCUGGAAAGGUACCAGCGGCGGAGAAGUGAUCUCCUUUAGUGGUUGUGCUGACAAUCAAACCUCUGCUGAUACCUCAGUAAGUCUGUUACUCCUGAAUUCAGUUUAGGACAGCUUAUUAGUUGACUAUUAAGAAAAUCUUGAUUUGACAGCAGGUUGGCGAGUUUUCAACGAAUGGAGAUUAAUAAACCAGACAUGAAGUGUCGUUUGUCAUUCGUGUGAUGGUUUAAAUUGCAUUCUCAUAUCUUCUGCUUAGUGGUAGCAGCCGGCCAAGCUGUUGAAUUUCUUCUAGCUUUGAUGAAUAACAACUCUUUCAAACGACAAGAAACUAUGCUAGUUUGAGAAUUUGGUAAAAUGAAAAUUGAUAUUCCUACAGCAGAUCCAAGUUGAACUGAAAUGUCUUAUGACAUGAUGAAACAAUAACUAUAACCAAUGAGCGAUUUCGAAAAUCCCUGUUGUUUGUUGAGUGUUGAUGUUGUCUCUGAGAAAUUUAAGCUAAAGCUCGAGAAACUUUUCAUGCGAAGUGGGAGAAGUUUUUGUCAAUUUGUUCAUGGCUUUCUACACUAGAAGAUGUAAUCUAUGAUUCUAACGAUUUACGUCAACCUGGACUCAUUCAUUGUUGUUGUUAUCUCUCUCUAUUUUUGUCGCAAAUAUUUCUUCACGAAAACCUUUGCAAUCACUAAUUGAAGUACAUGGCAUAUGAACCGGCAGGCAUUUUCGAGGGUCACCGCAUCAGGUGCCAUGACCUAUUGCUUUAUUCUGGCGAUUGAGAAGGGUCACGGCACCACAUACGGAAGCAUACUAAACUACAUUCGAUCGACCAUCAGAAGCACUGGAGAUGCCAUCAGCGGAGGCCCCAUAACGACUCUUCUCUCCAUGUUGUUAACCGGAGGUAGUCCACUUGGAGGACUGAGGCAGGUAAUUUUCUCUUCUUAUCUUGUUUAAUGCACUCUUUUGUUCAAAUUAAACAUUUUACUCGAUCGGGCCGACACUGCAAUAAACUGUAAUGGAGAGUUUCAGAAUAAUGCUACAUUAUGAAUGCAUUUCGGCACAUUUCGUUUUGGUUUGCAGGAGCCACAGUUGACGUCCAACGAACCCUUCGACGUUUACAUGAAGCCAUUCUCUCUAUGAAUUGCAUUCAGAUGAUCUUCCACAUUAGUUUCAUGGACAGAUGUAAGUAUACUUGUGUUUCAGUGAUUCAUUAUUUAUGCAACGAUUUUAGUUUCGUACAUAACAUAGUGAAAGAUUGGGUAAAGCCGUUAAGGCCCUUUCUAGGGUUCCCAUUGAAUAUAUAAUGAAUACAAUUACAGAAAACACCUUAUAGUACAGAUUGUGUUCAAGGUGUUGAAUAUUAUUUAUUACUAUUAUGAAAGCACAGUUGGGAUUCCCCCUCUUAUUUUUUGACAAUCUCUUUUAUAUCUUUUGCUGUAUAACCUAUUUUUAAGUAGCCAAUAUUAUAAAAUUAAAAUUUUAAUUUAGUGUAUGCAAUCUAAACCAUAUAGAAAGGCUAUAUGCAAAGAAUUACAGAAUUUGAAUUUUUAUAAUGAGGUUUUAAAAAUAUAGUGCAUAAAAAUUAGUUUUACACCCGGUUUAUUUAGCUUUUUUUUUUUUUUAUUUUUGUUAUGCUUUUACUAUUUCUUCUUUCUUAGCUUAUUUUAUUUAUUUGUUUAUAUGGAAUCGACACACAGCAACACGCUUGAAUGCCUUCGCUAGUUAUUAUUAUAGCAUUAAAACACAGUUCUCUAGCAGCUAAAAUUUUAAAGAUAAAUGAUUGUUUCAUAUUAUUUUAUACAGUAUCUGAGCGGUUUGGCGUAGAUUCUUAUCGAAGCUAAAUGAUUAGACCCUGCUUGGUAUUGUACCUUUUGAAGUGGAUCUUCUUUGAAAAAUGCAAAGAAUCAGAAAAAGAGUCAUUAAAUUGAGGAAUUUGGGAUCUGCAAGUACACCCCAUGUUACCACAAGCGCACAAACAAAAAUUAAAAAAGAAAAAGUGAUCUCAAAGUAGACAAAUCAGAAACAAUAAAAAAAAAAUAGGACACAGAUUUAUGUGAAAAAAAUUUUGCAGGAAAAAAAAAAUUAUGGAUGAAAGAGGAAAGAACUUCACUAUUGGAUCGUUUGAUUGUAUAUAGUUGUAAUUGUACUACAGUGGUAACUGCAUGCAAAUAUAAAUUCGGCGUUUGGUUUGAUAUCUUUAACUAUAACUGUUUCAGUAGAAACCAUAGGAGGAGGCCGAACUAUAUCAGUUGGGACUGCGCUCAAAUUAACCGCAGUUCCAAUUGCAACAGUUGAAGAGAGUAAUUUAAAUAAAAGAUAAGCUUACUUCUCUAAUUAUUUUUUAAAUAAAAAAAAAUAUUAUUUAUAUUGGAGGUAAUCUCACCAUUAUAUGUAUAAAAUAAUAAAAUUUUAAAAAUUAUUUCUCAAGUGCAUGUAAUCAAACAGAUUAUUUGUAGUUGGAGCACUUUUUGCUACAUUCAACUAAAUAAAAUGCAUAUACUUGCAAUUGUUGCAUUUUCAACUGUAUGCAUUUUCAAUUAUACUGUAUUUAUAAUUACAUCUAACUAAGUCCCAAUACAGAAGAGAGAGUAUGUACAAUACUGUGAAAAAGUACUAUUCACUGUAUCGAGCCUCUAAGAUAAAAAGGAAAAAAAAAGUUUCUUAACGGAUAUUUUCAAUAUCGGAUCCAAGUGCAGCAUCUUCCCAAUGUGCAAAUGGGGAAUUCGAAAACUUGUGCAAUUUGAGUUUACAUUAAUUACAUUUAAUUUUUAUUUUUUCAGUUGUAGGCCCUUUAUUCUGUAUUCCGACAAAAAUUGAAAUUGCUUGGGGAUGAAAUUUCAAAUUGUCAAUUUGAGACUGUGGGAUCCAUGGAAAAUCUAAUACACAUUUAAAAUAAAAAACAAAAAAAAUAAUUAAAAGUUAAAAUAGUUAUUUAGAUAAUUUUUAGUUUCUGCAUUUAAUGUCAGUUUUCAAAAUCUUAAAUUUAACAUUUUUGAAAUUCUUAUUUAUAUUAUUUUGGAUUUUAUUUAUAAUACUUGAAAACCCACCAAGGAUUGUCUAAACUCUUGAUGGGAUUAUCUGAAAAACUAUUUUAAUUUGAAAUUAAAAAUUUAUUUUUUUUAAUAUGUAUUAGAUUUUUUUUUAAAUUAAUUAGCACGUCCAAAAAGUUCGAACCUUUUAAGUGCUGAAGAGAGGCUGACAUCAAUAUCCGUUCUGAUUAAGUAGGGCGUCUCGAGAUGUGAGAUCCGACGCUCACAUAGCGGUAGAUUCUACGGUCUCAAAUGGAUAGUUUAGGGUCUAUAUCGUUCUAUUUAACCUGUAAUUAAGAGCUCAAGUACUAAAUUUACGCAUACGCAGAGACUCGAAGCUGUGUUGUAUAAUACGAUAUUAAAGUGUCAAAUGAAUUUAAUAUAAUAUUAAGAGCUUCAUAACUCAGUUUUAUCUUUCACUUGCAUUCCUUUUUGAAACUCAAAUUAUUUUUUAAAUUAAUUAUCUACUAAUCAUAAGUUUUGUUGCUUAGCUAACUAGUCAUUAGUACUAGAAUUCCCUUAUAUACUCAUCCGCAAUCUUUUUCUCACCCAAUAUUUAUAGGACUAUAUCGUUUUAUCACAAUUACAUACAGUAUUAAGCAUCUGCUUUCAUGCUCUGAAAAGCUUAAAUAUAUAAAAGUGCUUUAAAUCUUCUAUUAAUACUGUAAAAUGGUAGUAGGAGUAUGAGUACAAAGAUCUUCAUUCUCGAGGAAGCUUAAUUACAGUAACUCUACUCUUGCAUAUAGUGUCUACAAAUAAAGAAACGAUAGUUAUUUCGUAUUAUUUCACAUAGUAUCAUAGCAGAAGGUUCUGAUCGAAUUCGAAUUCCGCCAAAUUUCUAGCAUUAAUUAUUUAAUUCCAUAUCUUUGAUUUAUUAAAAACUUUCGAGCUCAGACGUAAGAAAGUAUGUUGAAUAUAAAAUAGAUAAAUGUUAAUUGUUCUCUGAUAGCUUAAGCUAUUGGUAGAUAAACAGUUGUUUUUAUAUAAUUUCACAUUAAUUCCUUAUGAAUAGGAAGAUAUUAAUGGCCAAACUUUUCAAUAAAUAAAAUCACAAAAUUUGACCAUAAUUUCGGUGGCCUAAAUGAUCUCAAAAUACCUUGGAACUCUUUAUUAGACUUAGCCAACUAGUCCUUAAUACUAGAAUGUUCUUUAUAUACUCAUACACAAUCUUUUUUUCUAAUCCAAUAUAAGCAUAUUGGGUUAUCACAAUUAUGUACAGUGUCAAAUUAAGCACCCGCUUUCAUGUUCGGAAAAGCUCGUAAAUAUAAAAGCGCUUUAAAUCUUCCAUUAACACUAUAAAAUAGUAGGAGUAUAUGAGUACAAAGUGUCUGAUCGUUGACGCUAACCAUUAAUCUCCAAAAACUCGAGCUAUUAAAAAUACGCAACUAAUUUACUUAAAGUGUACUAGAUACAGCAUCCUCGGAUUUCGAUUGUGACUCAACCCAAUUAGCUCCACGCUUCUUUGAACAUGAUUCGGCUUGAUCCGAUCUCCCGCUAUUUUGAACGUGACUGGGUCCCACCUGGCCUCCUGACACAGUGUACGAUGCUGGUUUCUUUAAGCCAACACAGAGAUCUUUAUUCUUGUGAAAGCUAAGUACAGCAACUUUACUCUUAUAUAUGAUGUCUACAGAUUAAGAAACAGCAGCAUGGAAAUGGGGCAUGCUUGGGCUCCACGCCUCUUAGCAAAAGACUAGAAGAGCAGUUGCAUACUAUAUAUGAAUGGGGUGAUCAGUGCAUCAGAAAAACUGACUCAUAAACUGACUCAAACUGCUGCAAAAACCUCCAUAUAAAUAGGCAAAGAUUGUGUGGUCCUCAUGUAAAUGCCAUAUAUAUGUACUACAAAGGGUGAAACUGUGUGGACACCCCCCAACUAUAGAACAUUUAGAAAUGGGCCCUUGACCAUUUCUUUUUCUUUUCUAUAAAGAUAUUUGUGGGCCACGCGCGGACGCUCGUCAAUGUUUGGAAUUUGGAUUGAUUUGUAUUUGCAUUUUACACUGUAGUUUGAAAUGCAGCAAACUAAUAUGUAGGCCCUUAAUUAGAGCAGUAUUCGUACUCGAGAUUUAACAUUCAAGGUCAAGGAUAUUGACCAACUAUUAUACUCUGUAUAGUAGUGACAAUAGGCCCUCUAACAUUUUUUUGGUUUUGAGACUCUUGUUUUUAGCCCUUUGAUAUAAGGUACAAAUUAGUAAUACACCUUUAUUAACUCCAAAUUCUUUUAGAAUAAUAAUGUAAAAUAACUGUUUGUCUCUGAUUAAAAGAAGGGAGAGUGAUGUUUUUAAUAUUUUGUAUUCAACACUUUCUGCUCACGUCUUAGUUCAAUAUUUUUGAAUAGACUCAAGCCAUGAAAUUGAAUUAAGUCUAAAAAAAUUAAAACUGGUUAAGCUCAGAGCCUGACGGGAUUCAAACUCACAAAGAUUAUAUGAAAAAACAAAUUACCUUAAAAACUUAAUCUAUUAGAGAAAACUAGUCUUUGAAUAUAUAUAUUUGUUUGCCCUGCACAUUUUCACCAUGAGGAGAGAGCCAACCCCACAAGUUUCAUAAGCUAGCUGAGAUGCAUCACAAAAGUGACAGCUUUGCCAUCUUCUACCAGUAGUUAAUGAAGAAGAAAGAAAGGAAGGGUGACAAAGGCUCACAUUUUUAAAGUAUUUUUUUCAAAAGAAAAGGAAAGCCACCAUUCCAGUUAUUUGCAGGAACGAGGGUGGAUAUACUUUUAUAUAUUUUGAUAUAUAUAUGUAUAUAUUAAUAUAUAUAUAUAUAAUAUAUAUAUAUCAUAAAUGGGGACGGUGAAGUAUGGUCAAAGAGAAGUUUCAAAUGAGAAGUUAAACUAUAUAUGACAAGAUAGCCAUAGAGAGAGAGAGAGAGAGAGAGAGAGUGAGGGGAUGUUGCAUGCUAGUAUAUGUGAAGAGGUAUAGCAUAAACAUGUGUGCACUUGUUUCAUUGAUAUCUUUGUGUAAUCUCUUGGGAUCUCCUGUGAGAACGACAGUAGAAGACACAUGCAUGAUUACACCAAAGAAACUUGUAGUUUUUGUACCAACCCUUUAUUAGAGUAGAGCUGCUCCUCCAUAGGAUCUCUCUGGCCUAUAUAAGUUACUAGUUAGGCAAUCUCUUCCCUAGAGAGAGAGAGAGAGAGAGAGAGAGAGAGAGAGGAUAGUGUAGCUAUCAGAUGAACUAAAGAAUUAUCUCAUACAAAGAAAAUUUUCUACGCAUGGAGAUGUAGAGAAUCUGUGGUUGGGGAAGGAGGAGCAAAAAGGAAACAAAAAUGUUAUGAACUUCUUUAGAAAAUCAAGAAAAGAUUAAGAAAAAAAAAAACAAUUACAAACAAAAAGGUUGCCUGUGGAUGGUGUUCAAAGAAAAAAAAAAGGGAAAAGUUCAAAAAAAAUCUCUAUGUUACGCAUUUGCAGUUUACUAUCAUAUAACUCAAAGUAUCUCAUUUGACUAUAUAUAUAUAUAUAUAUAUAUAUAUAGAGUGAGGCUACUAUGCUAUCGGAAGCACGGAGCCAUCCGUGCUUCCACUUUAUUUUCGAUGUUCGGACUUUCGAAUCGUCGAUCGGCUUCGUUAGACUUGAUCUAGAGUAUUUGAAGUACCUAGAAAAUAAAUUUUAUGAUUUUUCGAUAUUAUUUGCCUAGUGAACGAAGGGGCUCAAAAUCAACGGCUGAAAAUAAAAAUCUUACAAAAUUUAAUAAUAUGACAUUAAAAUUUUAAAUCAAAUAUAUUGAUCUUGUUUUAUAUAGUAUAAAGAAUUUUCUAUCAAAAUUUCACGUGAUUUGGAUAUUUCUACACCGUUAAACUUGCAACCGG
This 38443-nucleotide long non-coding RNA is filed under the name Ananas comosus (pineapple). Its description in RNAcentral is "long non-coding RNA (ACOM_LNC033023)". Lineage: Eukaryota; Viridiplantae; Streptophyta; Magnoliopsida; Poales; Bromeliaceae. The record is from RNAcentral.